UACAGAUACAGAAAUGGUCAGCUGCCGC
RNAcentral lists this non-coding RNA (28 nucleotides) under Mus musculus (house mouse). Lineage: Eukaryota; Metazoa; Chordata; Mammalia; Rodentia; Muridae. The record is from RNAcentral.